AUUGAACGCUGGCGGCAGGCCUAACACAUGCAAGUCGAGCGGAUGAAGGGAGCUUGCUCCUGGAUUCCGCGGCGGACGGGUGAGUAAUGCCUAGGAAUCUGCCUGGUAGUGGGGGAUAACGUCCGGAAACGGGCGCUAAUACCGCAUACGUCCUGAGGGAGAAAGUGGGGGAUCUUCGGACCUCACGCUCUCAGAUGAGCCUAGGUCGGAUUAGCUAGUUGGUGGGGUAAAGGCCUACCAAGGCGACGAUCCGUAACUGGUCUGAGAGGAUGAUCAGUCACACUGGAAGUGAGACACGGUCCAGACUCCUACGGGAGGCAGCAGUGGGGAAUAUUGGACAGUGGGCGAAAGCCUGGUCCAGCCAUGCCGCGUGUGUGAAGAAGGUCUUCGGAUUGUAAAGCACUUUAAGUUGGGAGGAAGGGCAGUAAGUUAAUACCUUGCUGUUGUGACGUUACCAACAGAAUAAGCACCGGCUAACUUCGUG
RNAcentral lists this ribosomal RNA (484 nucleotides) under uncultured bacterium. RNAcentral's name for it is "partial 16S ribosomal RNA". It matches the Rfam family "Bacterial small subunit ribosomal RNA", at positions 30 to 507 of the family's 1533-position model. The record is from RNAcentral.